CUUUUACUAGAGAAUAGCCAAGAGAAAUUUUGAUUAAUGCUCUAUGUUCUUAUUUACUCGCAUGAGUAAAUAAGCAAAGCUCCGGCGGUAAAAGAUGGGCAUGCGUCCUAUUAGCUUGUAGGUGAGGUAAUGGCUCACCUAAGCUCCGAUAGGUAGGGGUCCUGAGAGGGAGAUCCCCCACACUGGUACUGAGACACGGACCAGACUUCUACGGAAGGCAGCAGUAAGGAAUAUUGGACAAUGGAGGCAACUCUGAUCCAGCCAUGCCGCGUGAAGGAAGACGGCCUUAUGGGUUGUAAACUUCUUUUAUACAGGAAGAAACCUUUCCACGUGUGG
RNAcentral lists this ribosomal RNA (336 nucleotides) under uncultured bacterium. Its description in RNAcentral is "bacterial SSU rRNA". It matches the Rfam family "Bacterial small subunit ribosomal RNA", at positions 130 to 465 of the family's 1533-position model. The record is from RNAcentral.